RNAcentral lists this small nuclear RNA (22 nucleotides) under Arabidopsis thaliana (thale cress). Its description in RNAcentral is "snRNA_00616". Lineage: Eukaryota; Viridiplantae; Streptophyta; Magnoliopsida; Brassicales; Brassicaceae. The record is from RNAcentral.
UGUGAGAUAGAAGGUACAUAAC